This 260-nucleotide ribosomal RNA is filed under the name uncultured bacterium. RNAcentral's name for it is "partial 16S ribosomal RNA". It matches the Rfam family "Bacterial small subunit ribosomal RNA", at positions 524 to 776 of the family's 1533-position model. The record is from RNAcentral.
UACGGAGGGGGUUAGCGUUGUUCGGAAUUACUGGGGCGUAAAGCGCGCGUAGGCGGAUUGGAAAGUUGGGGGGUGAAAUCCCGGGGGCUCAACCCCGGAACUGCCUCCAAAAACUUCCAGUCUGGAGUUCGAGAGAGGUGAGUGGAAUUCCGAGUGUAGAGGUGAAAUUCGUAGAUAUUCGGAGGAACACCAGUGGCGAAGGCGGCUCACUGGCUCGAUACUGACGCUGAGGUGCGAAAAGUGUGGGGGAGCAAAACAGG